RNAcentral lists this ribosomal RNA (460 nucleotides) under uncultured bacterium. RNAcentral's name for it is "partial 16S ribosomal RNA". It matches the Rfam family "Bacterial small subunit ribosomal RNA", at positions 338 to 795 of the family's 1533-position model. The record is from RNAcentral.
CCUACGGGAGGCAGCAGUGAGGAAUAUUGGUCAAUGGCCGGAAGGCUGAACCAGCCAUGCCGCGUGAAGGUCAGUGCCCUAUGGGCGUUAAACUUCUUUUGUGCGGGAGCAAUACUGGUCACGUGUGGCCAGACGAGAGUGCCGUACGAAUAAGCAUCGGCUAACUCCGUGCCAGCAGCGGCGGUAAUACGGGGGAUGCAAGCGUUAUCCGGAGUUAUUGGGUGUCAAGGGUGCGUAGACUGUGAGGUAAGUCAGCGGUGAAAUGCCCCCGCUCAACGGGGUGAAGUGCCAUUGAUACUGGGGUGCUGGAAUGCGGAUGCAGUGGGAGGAAUGUGUGGUGUAGCGGUGAAAUGCAUAGAUAUCACACAGAACACCGAUUGCGAAGGCAUCUCACGAAUCCGCGAUUGACGCUGAUGCACGAAAGCGUGGGUAUCAAACAGGAUUAGAUACCCCUGUAGUC